This 358-nucleotide ribosomal RNA is filed under the name uncultured bacterium. Its description in RNAcentral is "partial 16S ribosomal RNA". It matches the Rfam family "Bacterial small subunit ribosomal RNA", at positions 338 to 710 of the family's 1533-position model. The record is from RNAcentral.
CCUACGGGAGGCAGCAGUGGGGAAUAUUGCACAAUGGGCGAAAGCCUGAUGCAGCAACGCCGCGUGAAGGAAGAAGGGUUUCGGCUCGUAAACUUCUAUUAACAGGGACGAAAGAAAUGACGGUACCUGAAUAAGAAGCCUCGGCUAACUACGUGCCAGCAGCCGCGGUAAUACGGAGGGGGCAAGCGUUAUCCGGAAUUACGGGGUGUAAAGGGUGAGUAGGGGGCAUGGUAAGCCAGAUGUGAAAGCCUUGGGCUUAACCCGAGGAUUGCAGUUGGAACUAUCAAGCUAGAGUCCAGGAGAGGAAAGCGGAAUUCCUAGUGUAGCGGUGAAAUGCGUAGAUAUUAGGAAGAACACC